RNAcentral lists this ribosomal RNA (253 nucleotides) under uncultured bacterium. RNAcentral describes it as "partial 16S ribosomal RNA". It matches the Rfam family "Bacterial small subunit ribosomal RNA", at positions 524 to 776 of the family's 1533-position model. The record is from RNAcentral.
UACAGAGGUCCCAAGCGUUGUUCGGAUUCACUGGGCGUAAAGGGGGCGCAGGUGGCAUGGUAAGUUCGAUGUGAAAGCCCCGGGCUUAACCCGGGAAAGGCAUUGGAUACUACUGUGCUGGAGGAUUGGAGGGGGGACUGGAAUUCUUGGUGUAGCCGUGAAAUGCGUAGAUAUCAAGAGGAACACCAGUGGCGAAGGCGAGUCCCUGGACAAUACCUGACACUGAGACACGAAAGCCAAGGGAGCAAACAGG